RNAcentral lists this ribosomal RNA (486 nucleotides) under uncultured Sphingobacteriales bacterium. RNAcentral's name for it is "bacterial SSU rRNA". It matches the Rfam family "Bacterial small subunit ribosomal RNA", at positions 892 to 1382 of the family's 1533-position model. The record is from RNAcentral. Lineage: Bacteria; Pseudomonadati; Bacteroidota; Sphingobacteriia; Sphingobacteriales.
GCUCAGAACUUAAAGGAAUUGACGGGCCGCACAAGCGGAGGAGCAUGUGGUUUAAUUCGAUGAUACGCGAGGAACCUUACCUGGGCUCGAACGUAAGAUGACUGUAGGUGAAAGCUUACAUCUCUUCGGAGCAUUUUACGAGGUGCUGCAUGGUUGUCGUCAGCUCGUGCCGUGAGGUGUCGGGUUAAGUCCCAUAACGAGCGCAACCCCUACCUUUAGUUGCCAUCAGGUAAUGCUGGGGACUCUAAAGGAACUGCCUACGCAAGUAGUGAGGAAGCGGGGAUGACGUCAAAUCAGCACGGCCCUUACGUCCAGGGCUACACACGUGCUACAAUGGCCGAUACAGAGGGCAGCUACCUGGUGACAGGAUGCAAAUCUCCAAAGUCGGUCUCAGUUCGGAUCGGAGUCUGCAACCCGACUCCGUGAAGUUGGAUUCGCUAGUAAUCGCGCAUCAGCCAUGGCGCGGUGAAUACGUUCCCGGGCCUU